UCCUUAGACUGGCCAAUGGUAAUCAGCUUGACGAUAUGCAUCAGGGUCUGCCUGCAAAGGAAAGGCUGUCCUCUUUAGCAUUCAGAUGGGAAGACGUUCAUUCAGCUGGUGGUGUGCUGAACACAAGACCAUGAAUAUGCAAAGUAUAACCAAGUGACUUUGCUUUUAAUUACGCAAGUCAGUGUUCUGAUCCGGUACACCCAUGGCUUCACCUUUGGCACUCUAAUACUAUGCUGAUAAAUACGGAGGGAAAACUUUCUUUUAACAGAAUUUUCAAGAACAGAUGUUCUUCUUUUACUCAAAAGACACUUACAAACAGGAACACGUGACUGUCACUACCAAAACCCUUCUCAGUGUAUUUUCCUCCAUUUCAUGCCAGCUGCAUAUACACCCAUAGGGUGCAAGGCGGAUUCUCGCCACUUCCUCUGCAUUCUAGGCAUCCCACUCACCAUCCUCUGGCUUCCAGGGCGACCUUGCUCUUUCUCUGUCUUUUGCUUUGCUAAGAGUAGCUCCUAAACAGGAUGAAUGCUACUGCCUGGCUUCUCUGCGUUCAUGUCUUCAGAACUCUCCAGCUUCUGUACCUGUUCGAUGUUAUAGUCAGAACUUCCCUCCUUCCCUUUAAAACCAUCCAUCUUGAAUAUUGCAUCAGAGUCUCUCAGACUGGAUUGGAUACAAUAGCUGCCUCCUCUGCAGGUUUCCUGGGCCUCAUCAAAUGCUACGUUUCAUAUUUCAGAUGCCAAUUUAAGGCUUUGGUCAUGAUCUUCAAAGUAAUAAAUGAAUCAAGCCUUAGCUACUUUAAAGGCUGAAUUUCGAUCUGUGAACCAUCAUGACAGCUGCACUUCCUUGGGGCAAUGCCGAUUACAAAACCUAGGAGGAAACAUAUGAAAGGGAAGAACAAGGCAUUCCUAACGGAGAGAAGCCAGCGAUAGGAAAAAUGUCCAGGAGAGAUUCUACAGAUCUAGACCUUAGGAAGCUGAGCAAAACCUUUCUCUUUGAAUCACUCUGAACGUUGAUUUUCCCCUCUGUCCUAGAAGAAUGCCAGCCAACAAACCCACCAGCAACACCCCUACACCAGCAUUAAAGCAAGUACUACUGCAGCUAGGCUUUUUUAAAUAAGAGACCGACCAUAGACUCUGCUACAAGCUGUGCUUUAAAUGCAGGGUUCUCAGAUAUCCAAGCACUGGAACAUCUCUUCCCCAUUGCCUUCAGCUGUGUCAUGGCAUUCACACAAUGUCCUAGUGUUACGAGAUUGUUUGUAUGAGGCAGAUUCAGCAACAAAAAUUAAUGAGAAAGAUUCAAAUAGAAACAAUCAAAUACAGAUGAGUAGUCGCUUCUUUAGGAGGGACUUUCUGUGAAGCUGAUGAUGAAUACAGUGCACAGUUUACUUUUGAAGUUAAACCAGACUUUUACAUUUCUAUUCUAAGCUAAAUUAGUGUAUUUCAGUCUUAGUGUUUAUCCAAACACAAGGGUCCCACUGCUUAAUCUUCCAUGGAGGUUUCAACUAAUUUAGUUAAACUGGUAUAAACACUUCUGUGAAGACUCUUAGUUUAGCUUAUGUCAAUUUGGAAUCUGUUUAUGGCAACCCUAAAUAAGCUAUUCUUAAACUUAACUACAAAAGUCAGCCAGCUUCUUGCACUGAUUUUGACUAAACUGAUUUAAAAUAGAAUCUUAAUGUAAACUAGUGUAACUUUCUUGUAAACUGGAAACUUCUUUGGUAAACUAGAAACUUCGGUGUAGUGCAUGUCACGUCCUCCCUCUUGUGGCUGACACGAGGGUUCACAGUUUUGAGAAACACAUCAAGCCCCUAAAAAGAUGGAUUAGGCUCUCCCUAGCCAUGACCUGGCAACCGGAACAGUAAACUGACAGUUAUUUUAGGGUUCAAGGCGUUAUAAACACAGCUUUAUAAAAACCAAAUAACAAAAUACUUGAAGUUGGAUUAUUACAUACUGUUAAUUUGAAAAAUAGACUUUUUUUUUUUUUUUUUGGAAUAAAGUAACUACUAGGACGUAUCAGUAAGCGUUCUAUUGAAACUACUAAUGCGGGUAUAGCUUGUUCUCUGAGAGACUACUAGAAAAGCAAAUUUGGCAAGGAUGGGUAACCAGGAAUUUGGGGUGGCUUGUUCAAGUUAGGGACAAGGAGAUAAGCUCCGGAGGAGAGCUGAGAGGAGCAAGGCUUGCAGAUUUGAGAUAUAGCCCAGAAACAUUUCCAAACUUGAUGCACACUGCCAUUGCAUCCUCUGAUGGUUGACAAGUGGCUGAGAAGCUGGAGGCAAAGGGGAGACCUGCAUCUCUGUCACACGGCAGUGGUGUGGCACCCAUAUGUGAUGGCAGAUCGUGCCGGCCUUCCUAAUCCAUUCUGCCCAUUCGCAUACCAACUGUGGAAAUACAAACCAGUGUGGCUGCUGGGUGGGGUGAGCUGCACUUCUCACAAAUCAGAAAUAGCUGCCUUAGGCUUCAAUAGAUGCAUAACUGAACUGGAGAAAAUAGGCUCCUGCCUUUAUUUGCCCUUUGCCUGAUUUUUUUAGCUGAUAUAACUGAGCAAUCAUGAUAUGCUCUUCAGCAUGCCCAGGAGAGGCUUGAAGUUGCCAUAGGAUCUCAGUCCUGCAUUCCCAGAUGCAUUUCAUUGUCAUGAUGACUUUACUGACAUUAUUAUAGGGUUUUCUUAAUUUGGAAAUUUGCCUAAAAGGGCUUAGUGCCAGGUGAGUCCUCUCUUUUCCUGCUCCACCCUGCCAGGGUAAAGCUGCCUCUCACAUUCACACACAGCAUUGGCCUACUGCGUACUGUAUACGUUUCAAAGCGUAAGCUGAUAGCUGGUAAUAGUUUUAGAACCGCAAAAUCCCUCUAGUCCUGUCCAGACUGUGAUUGGCCUGUAUGCCAGCAGGAUAAGAGCUCCCAGAGGCCUCCCCAGCCCUUUCUCUGGAGUCCCCAGUUAGGGACUGGCACAGCCUACAUCACCUAGAACUAGUGGGGUGAUUCUCCACUUUCUGGUGGAGAAAAAAGGAAGGAAAGAAGAAAGAGCUUUUCUGCUUAUGCUGUGGCAAACGAACAAAACUUCUGAAGGAAGAAAUGAGCCUUCAGAGAGAAUAAAACACUUGCAUCAUCUGUAAAAUCUAGAAUUGAUUGAGAAACCUUUCCUUGCUGAAGGUAUAACUUUCAAAAUUGUUUGGGAGGCUGCGUGUUAAUAUAUACUUUAUCCAUGCUUCCUUGGCACCUUACACUAGGCUUCUCCACAUCCAUGCUACCCACUUCCAAGCCCAGGAGGUCCCUAUGCCCAGCGCUCUCAUGCUGCUCUGUGCUACCAUACUUCUGUUGUCAAGGAUGCAAAAUCCACCGCUGCUCUACCAGUAGACUCAGGACUGCCCUAGUAUACACCAGUACACAGAGUUCUUCACACUUAGCGAUCCUUGAUUUCCUCUCUUGCCUAGGGAUGCCACAACCCCAUCUUGCUGGGAUGAGAGCACCAGGACUGAGGAAAAUGAAAAGGUUUAUCUAGGGGCAGGGAGGGUCAGGAAAUGGGAAGAGAAGGUGAGAAGAAUCAGAGAGCACUUGUGCAGCAGGGAGGAAGUCCUCCUGUGCCGCUAAGUCUGUGGUUAGGGUCUCAGGUCACCCACGAAAAAGCAUUUGUGGAAAUGAAGUAGAAGAAGGUACAAGAGGCAGGCCUCAAGGAGAGAGUGGCCUAACCUGUAAAAUCCCCACCUUUGAUAUGCCAGGGGUGUACACUCAUCCUCUUUGCCUCUCUUACAAGAAGUAGGGCAGUUUGUGGCAGAGGCAGAAGGCUGUGUGACCAGGAGGCCACCUGGGCUAACUGCUUCUGCACUGGACAGGAGAUAUGCCACAAAGCCAAGAGCAACCAUGGGACAGCAGGAGUAUUAAUGGGAGCUGCGGGAAGAUGCAUGCCUUAGGAGCAGAGGAGAGAGCAGUGGAAGGGGAAGGGGCAGCUCUGGUAUAGGGCAGGGCUGAAAUCUUUGUGUAGACGCGACCAGAACCAAUCAAGUCCCUACCCACGUGAUUAAAAGCUUAACUGUACUCCAUAAGCAAACAGGAUCUGGAGGUCACAGGUAUAUGCAGAUAUAGUCAUGCUACUUUUUGAGCUAUAAGUCAGCAGUUGGCUGUGGUUUUGUUCCUAUGCUGCUAACAUCUGGUGUAAAUUAAAAGUGAACGUUCAGUGAAGAGUUGUCUGGAUUCUCUUCAACUGCUUGGUUCUCAAAACGCUUAUUCUGACCAAUAUUGAGGACUUUGAAGGUCGCGGGUGCUCUUUAGAAAAUACACCAGAUCAAGCUGAACAAUGUACUGUAUGGGUCAGAAAAGGCAGUAGAGGUGUAAAGUUCCCUUUUGUAUCUAUAAUCCUAGGGCUUCUGUGUUCAAGGUUGGAACACUCUUUUUCUCCAUGCUGCUAUAGCCAGAAGGGUACUGGCAACAGCCAAGGGAGCUGAAAUGAUAGUGCAGGACUACCAUAAUGUGAAGGCAUCCCAAAUAUGUCCCAAAACCAUCGGCAGAGGAGGAAGUAUCAGGGCCUCUCCAUCCUCAAGUGUCAUCGUGUUAUACUGGGGUGAUGCCGUAGGCAUGAUACUGGUAGAGUGGCACAAAGAAAAUCCUAAGUUAGAAUAGAGAAAGGUCAUCUUCCAGCGGACCAGCUGAUCAUAACAGAAUACACAGCACCAAUCAAGCAGGGCAUUGCAUGGAUUAAUGCAAAAUAAUCAACAUAGGACAAAGUGCUUCUGUUCUGCUGCAGGGUUGCUGGGAUAAUCAGAAUUUUGAAUCAUUUCUCAUGAUUUCUUUCAAGUCUAUUUUCAAUUAAGCUGUCUCCAAACUUUGGAUUUUCUGAACUUCGGAGGAGUUGUAAACAACCUCAGUCUAACUAGGUUGUACCCAUUGUCAGGCCCCCACAGCUGGGCACAGCUGUGCCUGCGCAGUACUCCUGCGACGUAGCUUGGGUCAAGAUUGAAUGCCCAGACUUUACAGAAUCACUUUCCUUUGCUCUAGAGAAGAACAAAGAACCCACUUGGGGAAGACAGUUGGUUGGGACCCCAAGGAGUUUGGAAAGAUAACAUGUGUAUUGGCAGAACUUUUCAUAUCCUAGCUUGGAGAAACAUGGUCGGGAGAGAGAGAAUACAUGCUUGUUAAAUAUGUAAGGAGUCAGUUCAGCUACAACCUGCUCAGGCUUCUGCAAACACUGGGCUUCCAUUAGGGCAGAACCAGUAUUUGCCUGGUCACCCAGUGGUGACUCAUUGUAGGAUUCAGCCCUGAAAGGAGGAAGGAGGAAGACUGAAUUGAAAGUGAUCCUUUGUCACAGUUAUUCCUAUCGCUUGUUAAAUAGAAAUGUAGGGUUGGAAAGGACUUCAAGAGAGCAGCUAGACCAAAGAUCUGGCUUCAUAGUUCAGUCUUCUCCUCUCUGAUCUUCAGGCACAGUGAAGUGACAACAGUCAGGCAAGAAAUGGCAACAGUGCAGAAGUUAUCCUUGCUGAACAGCAGUGGUUUAAGGUUGGUAUUAGUGGUGUUGAGUCGAGCAUAACAAAAACCUGACAAAACUAUUGCAAAGUUAAGUCUUUUCUGUAUCUAUUAAUGCAACCCACUGCCACCGACAUUUUGGAUAUCCUGCUCACAUGUUUUCCAUUAAGGCAUUAUGAAAUCCCAAAUUCUGAUGCCAGAUGGUUUUGGAUUACUUUGCUUGUAUAAAGGGUUUAAUUUGGGUGCAUGGAAAAUGUAAAAUAUUCCAGUAAUAUCUUUAGCAGGACUACAUAGGUUGCAUUCCCUUUAUUCUUCAGCUAUGCCAUCUGCCUUCUGUACAUUAUAUUCUGAGUCAUGAUAAAACUUUAAAACAUGAAUUCAGAUUUACUGACUUCCCAGAAGAGACUAUGCUCUGUAAAAUGCUUAAAGGGAUUGACGUGAAAGGAAAUGUUCCUAGAGACCUACUACGCUGCGAAACCGCACAGUGAAUUAAAAUAGCCUUCUUCCUCCAAAUACGUGUCUCCUAAGAAUGCGUUCAGCCUAGUCCUGAAUGUGAAGCUAGAAAGAGAGAAUGGGUAAAGGUCAAGCAUAUGGCUGCUGUUCCUGCCAGUAAUCAUUUUGCUUGCUUUACUUGAUGAGCGGAAUGAUCUUUUUAGCUAGUAUUAACCAAUUUUUCAAAUGAUCUUUUCUUGGUGCAACAGAUGAGCACCAGCGUUAUAAACACAGAGUUAACCUGAAAUUAGAUCUGUUGGAAUUCACGCAGUCUGUGCCACGUGGUAUGAACAGAGUGAAAUGGCCCCUGCACAUUCUGAACUUCAUCUUGCAUGGACCACUGUCACAUCAUGUACUACGUGGCUUCUGCCUUGUCAUUAUUCAAAUACAGAAUUAUUUCUUGUAUCCAGUCACACUCCCAAGUGCAAGAGUGAAAUGUUGACCUAGUUAAACCAGUAGCUGUCUAGGAUGUAGGAAUAAAAGUAAACUGGAUUGUAUCUUAGGAGAACACCUUAAAGUGACUUCUUUAACUGGAUGCCACUUUAACUGGUUUGUUUAAACUCACUCUAGAUGGGGAAGCUAGUGACUAGCUAGAGAUAGUCUUUCUCUCAUAUCUUGUUUUACAGUUUUUCAGAAACAAAUUCUUUACGUUCAGGGGUAACACAAAAGUAAAAGUGGGUAUUACUUACAAACAGUUAAAGUUUCAUUCAUCCUCUUGUUCUCAGAGACCUAAAGGGAGGUAGAAUGGUUUGUACAAAGGGAUCUCUAGGCUCUGCUCAACAACUUCUAGCACUUUUCACCCCCCCCCAUUUUCCACAAUAAGUAUAGUUCUGCUAGGUUUUGGUUUAAAACCCAGAAAGAGAGGUGUUAAAUGGAAAAACAAAACAGGAGUUUCAGAUUUGAUUUUGACAAGCUUAAUAUUGCCAAGAAGUCUGUGUUUUUAAUCAUACUGCAUUAAAUGCACUCAAAAACAUUGACUUACAGUACGUUUGAUUAGUGUCCAGCUAGUCUAGAAUAAUUAUUUGGGGAGCAAUUUUCUAUUGAGUUAUUUUGUAAAAAGAAAGCAAAACAAAUAAACUUAAGAGUCUUUCAAGCUGUCACCAAAACCUUUAAGCUCUACAUCUAGAUUUGCACAGAUCUGUGAAUGACCAAUAGCUAUACUGACCUCCAUUACAUAACCCCAGGUAUGUUUCAUCGGUGGUAUAUCCUUACCAAUGCAACCGGAAGUAUCUGCUGAUGUCAGCUAAGACUGUUAUUAAAAUCUGAAAUUUUUUUAGAGAGGUGGAGGUGGGGAGGAGUGAGAAUAAUGUCAGCAGGUAAGUCAUGCAUUAACCAAGGCAGCAUGCUCUUACUGAGGUCAGCAUCACACCCAAGAUGCAGAAAGGCUGACUGCUAUGGAAUAACUCAUAACCUGAAAGCUGAAUAUGUGCUGAUUGGUUUACCCACCUCUUCUCUGAGUUACAGGGUGGGGUGAAUUUCCGAAAGGAGUUUUUAGAACUAAAGAGUCAGUAGGCUUGGAUAUACUGCUAGGAUGGGAAAGUAUGUGAAGCAGACAGUAAAGCUUGAGAUGCAGGGAUUUUGGGCUUUAGGAUCGAUAUUAGCAGAAAAUGCACUUGAGCAGCCUCAGUUUUAAAUGAAUGAUUAGCAUGGGGAAACUUGUUAUGCUUUGGAAAACCUUGGUGCUCAGCCUUAUGCUGUAUCAAUGAUACACUUUUUAAGACCGGAAAGACAGAAAUGUCCCUGUCUUCCUCACUUGGCCAUAUCUCCCACUGUCUAGAGGUAUUCCAGAAAUGGCUCUAGCAUCAUGUAUUAUUUACCAGUGUUUUCCUUCGGAGGACUCUGUGGGUUGUUGCUUGUGACUUUACCAAAUUUUGAUCAUUUGGUCCUACAGUUUUGAAGCUGAAUUCCUUCCCCUGCCUGGCUAGACACACAUUUAGUUUACAUUGGGACAGCGUAAUCAAACUGAUGCAACAGUUUCCAAGGAUGACCCUUUGCUCAGAAGAAGCUCCUGUGACCUCUCUUCUGAGUAAUUCCAGUGCUGCCACGCUUCAGGGUAAGGACCUGCCUACAAUUGCAAUCACUCCUCGCUUCUGAAAAGGUCUCAAAUGUGGAAGCUUCAGGAAUGAAGCAUGUACACUUAGUUGCCACCUGUGAACAGUUUAGUUGAUGUGCCAUGUCUGCUAUCCCACAGGUAUUUUGUGACACAGAUAUGGGUAAAAAUCAGUUACCCAGGCCUCUGAGCCAUGAAAUUGUCCUUUCUCUUUCCUGCUGUCUUCUGUCUCAUUAUCUCCCAGCUUUUGCAACAGGGUAAACAUGGUAUUAGCAUGCAACCCUGAUUCACUUUGAAGGAGGGUGAAAAAAAAAAAGUACUGCAUUAUUUAAUCGAAAGCUAUUGUAAUUCGGUCCACAAAGCUCUUAAAUUAAGGUUGUAUAAAAAAACUUAUCACUAUCGUUUCCCAAUUUUGGAGUGCUUAGUCUGCAACCUGAAUGUUCCUUUAAUAAACCUUUUUUUCACGUAUUCUAAUACCUGGGUUUGUUUUCUGGAUAAAUUUUGUCUAGAAAUUCAGACGCUUUACCAGCGUUCUAGAUUUAGUGUUUCUUGCAGUCUCAGUGCUCAGAUAUGUGGGCCUGAAAAGUUAACAUGUAUCUUCACUGAUAGUAAUGGACUGGCCGAAAGGCACUUUCCUCUGUCAGCAGAGGAAUGUUUAACUCCAUUAAAUGAGAGGAAACCUGCACACCCACACAAAAAGGGAGGCCUUCCUUUUAUACACGUACAAGAGAUUUCUGUAUCCGCCAGAGGAGGACAGAGAAGGCAUUUGCGUAACGUGCCUCCCUAUUCUUCCUUCAGAUUGAAAACCUGCCCAGACUUGCUGGAGUCAUCCCCUUUGGGGAGCAAAGAUUCUCAGCUCACACAGAACAGUUUGGCUGUCGGUCAUGGCAUUGCUAAGCAGCUUUCAGUCUUCAGGACCGUCUGCAACGUAAUUUGCAGAUGUACAAAGCGGGGGGUUACAGUAGGUAACACAACGGAGGUCCCAGAUUCCAGGUCUCCAUUUCAAAUCAAAUGCAUGGAGCUUUUAAUUACUCGUGUAGGCUGCCAGGAGUUUCUUGACCAAAAACCUGUUCAUCGAGUCGACUAAUUCCUAUAUUCGUUUCUGUAUGUUCCAAUGUAAACAUUAGUCACUGUGUGAGCAUCUGUAACAACAGUAGAAUCAGGCAACACCCAAGGUCAUUCCCAACUUAAAAUAUGAAAAUACUUUCUCGAUGUGCUUUCCAUUUGCUAUCACUUUUACCACUCUUCCCCCUGUGAAGGUAACUGUAUGCUGAGCUGCUUCCAGAAAACGAUCAUGACCCUAGCAGGUUGUGUGUUUCAUCCUGGUAUACAUUAGAGAUAACAAACAUGCAGUGAUUUUUGAAAAAAACAAUAUCAUCCUUUUUAAAAUGCAGAAAUCGGUUAAUUCUAUAUAUCCAUUUAUUCUAUUUAUCCUGAUUUUUCUCUUAAUUUCACAUACAACCCCCUUCUUCUAUCCUUUGCUAGAUACCUGUAUUGUGAGUUUUUCAAGCUCUAAUGGAUAAAACCUUCUGGAUGACUUGUUUUACUAGUGUGAUGAACAUACAGAUGGUUGUUUAUGAUAUGAUUAUCCCUAGACUUUCAGCAGCCUAAAUCUGUAGAGUAGAUUGUGACAACGUGGGAAAAAAAAAAUUGUCAGAAGAAACAAAAAGUCGUUGCAUACCAAAUUACGAAUCAGAAAGAACCAGAAAUAACCCACUUCUGUAUGGGCCUAAUGCUUGGAUACAUCAGCUGCCACUGAAUGCAUAUUUAAGGAAUUCUCCUGUUAGGUGUGCAUAUAGCAGUAAACCGAUGAAAAUCCACGACUGUCCUUCUCAAGCAGCCACUAGUCUAAAAACACCACACCAGCAGCACUCAGGGUUGGCUUACUUCUCUUUGACUAUUCAGACCUGUAGAUUCACAUGUAAAAGAGGUCAGAACACCCUGAGGUUAGGAAAGGCCAGAAUUAUGGUAGCUUGUGUGUUCCUUACUCAGUUUCAGCCUGCAUGUAUCACAGUAACAUCAUUCAAGUUCUUAAAUGUAUAAUCAUGUUUCAUUUUAUCGCGCGGGACCCCUGCUUCUUCCAGAGCAAAAGAAGAAUGAUGCAUAUUGUGCAACAUCUGUCUCGAGUCUAGGCUUUAUUUGCUAUACGCUAGAGCAUCUCCACCAAGCCUUCUGCACCCAUGUCCCUGCACACGCAGCCAGUGCCAAACCCUGGCUCCAAAGACAAGAUUCAGAAACACAUAGGGUGAUCAUGUGGUUUUCAAAACACCUUGAGGGGUGCAUUAAGGAACCACCUAACACAAUUAAGAAAUAUGCUUAUGUGCUAUUUUCAAGUUGAGUAGUAGAAUUUGAUGCAUUUAGUUUGAGAAGGAAAGUCUUUUGAGAAGAAAGUGCACUGGCAAACAUAUUUUGAAAGGUCAAAUGUUAAAUGGAAGCCCUUUCUGCGUUCAUACCGGGAAUGAGUUUACUUAAAGAAUUAAGGCAAACUAUAUAUUCCAGAGAGAGCUAUUGCUAGACUCUCUAAAGCUAGACUAAUGUCUAAUGCACCACAUGAUUUUAUGAAUAAUCAAUUCAAGAAGCUGGAAAAGAGAAGAACAGUGAUCUAUCUGUACAGAGCAGAUCAUACCUACUGUGAAUUAUGAACUAUGAAUUUGUAGAACAGACCAUGGUUGCUCAUAUGUAAAUCCUCUUCCUGAAACUCAAGACUUAGCUAUCCACCAAGUUACAUCUUACAUGUUAGUGAGAAGUAGCCUAGUAAAUCCAGAAGGUUCCUUCCAGAGUAAAAAUCUUGCUUACAACAGUGAAAUUAACUCACACAAAAUGAAAACAGGGCGAACCACAGUGAAAAAAUAGUGCAGAGCAGAUCCUGAGUUCAGCCUUUUUGCGUAGUUUUCCAAGGGCCUGGUUUACGAAGGUGGCUUCAAGUCAACAUUAUUCUCUGAAUCUAGGGAUUCAGGGCUAUUUGUCUAUAUUCUAACAGCUAGCAAAACCUGGGACUUUUAUAUGUGCUAGGAGAAAACAGGCCUCUGAAAUCAUUGAAACAGCUUGAGAAUAUUUCAGUAGAAGAAUAGCAGAACCUGGCCAUGUGGGUUGAGAAGAAGAAAAAGCAGCGUCACGUUUUUAGGAUGAUGUCACUUGCUAAAUGCCUGCAUUGAAGAUGAGGAUUUUUUCUUUUUGGCUGAAGCACACAGAUCUGUAAAUUUAGCUUUGUUGUUACAUAAAAUUAGGAGAUGAAAGGAUAUUAUUACACUACUACAAGGAGCGUAGUGUUGCAUCCCUAUCUAAUCCUUAGGGAAUUGUAAUGAAAAGAGUGGAAAUUGGGACUGGUUAUAAGAUGUUUUAUCUGUAAAUACUCACUUUUACAAUUCUGAACAGAGUUUAUUUGCACCGUCAGUGAACCCCAUGCUAUCUUUAAUAUUGCCUCACACAUACUAUUGCUAUAACUGCUAGUUUAUGACAUAAUUAAAGCAACUCCAUUAACUCAGCCCUGCAGCAUAUCUAAUAUACACAUCUUUAUCAUAACUUUUCAUUCUGAUAUGUCUGCUCUGUUGCUUUUUUUACCUUCAAGCCAGGCACCUUUUUAUGACCUUUUACUGAUCCUCAGCUUGUAGUUUCUCAUGCAAUUAAAGUGAUACAUGCCUAUUUUUAGCACGUAAAAAUAUUCUAGGAACUAAAAAACUGUUGGUUAUCUCUGUUGGUUGAGCCUGAUUGUUUUCAUUUGUUAGUUGGUUGAAAUUAACAUGGAAUUCAGUUAUCUUUUUGCUGCUGAUAAGGUUUACAUUUGUAAAAUACAUUUCUGCCUUGACUUUGAGUUACUCACACUGCUCCUUCCUGGCAGGCACACCCCCAGCCUUGCUUUGCACAGCAUUAAAUAGACUUUUUUUAAAUCAUCUUUUGGUUACCAAAAGAGUAUUUGUUAUAAUUAUGUUGGUAUUUCUAUUUACUAUUUAAUGGAACUGAAAAAGUGCUAUCAUUUUUAUAUCUGCAUUUCAAUAAGGGGUGAGUACCUUCACGUAACUAUCUGUCAUAUAUGAUCUGCACUAUUUCGGAUAAAGAGACAUUGAGAAAAACAGUAAAGCAGACAAAGAUCCUUUAUAUGAACACACAUUUUUUUUCCUGUUAGCUGUCCAUCUUUU
Struthio camelus australis is the source of this 12125-nucleotide non-coding RNA. Lineage: Eukaryota; Metazoa; Chordata; Aves; Struthioniformes; Struthionidae. The record is from RefSeq and is a predicted model, not a curated record.